GUCGGGAUAGCUCAGUUGGUAGAGCAGAGGGCUGAAAAUCC
Molecule: transfer RNA, 41 nt
Filed under: Taxus wallichiana
Lineage: Eukaryota; Viridiplantae; Streptophyta; Pinopsida; Cupressales; Taxaceae
Description: partial tRNA-Phe
Source: RNAcentral